This 520-nucleotide ribosomal RNA is filed under the name uncultured bacterium. Its description in RNAcentral is "bacterial SSU rRNA". It matches the Rfam family "Bacterial small subunit ribosomal RNA", at positions 120 to 674 of the family's 1533-position model. The record is from RNAcentral.
GGGAACAUACCCUUUUCUACGGAAUAGCUCUGGGAAACUGGAAUUAAUACCGUAUACGCCCUACGGGGGAAAGAUUUAUCGGGGAAGGAUUGGCCCGCGUUGGAUUAGCUAGUUGGUGGGGUAAAGGCCUACCAAGGCGACGAUCCAUAGCUGGUCUGAGAGGAUGAUCAGCCACAUUGGGACUGAGACACGGCCCAAACUCCUACGGGAGGCAGCAGUGGGGAAUAUUGGACAAUGGGCGCAAGCCUGAUCCAGCCAUGCCGCGUGAGUGAUGAAGGCCUUAGGGUUGUAAAGCUCUUUCACCGAUGAAGAUAAUGACGGUAGUCGGAGAAGAAGCCCCGGCUAACUUCGUGCCAGCAGCCGCGGUAAUACGAAGAGGGCUAGCGUUGUUCGGAAUUACUGGGCGUAAAGCGCACGUAGGCGGAUAUUUAAGUCAGGGGUGAAAUCCCAGAGCUCAACUCUGGAACUGCCUUUGAUACUGGGUAUCUUGAGUAUGGAAGAGGUAAGUGGAAUUGCGAGU